RNAcentral lists this ribosomal RNA (250 nucleotides) under uncultured bacterium. RNAcentral's name for it is "partial 16S ribosomal RNA". It matches the Rfam family "Bacterial small subunit ribosomal RNA", at positions 525 to 775 of the family's 1533-position model. The record is from RNAcentral.
ACGUAGGCGGCAAGCGUUGUCCGGAAUUAUUGGGCGUAAAGGGAGCGCAGGCGGGAAACUAAGCGGAUCUUAAAAGUGCGGGGCUCAACCCCGUGAUGGGGUCCGAACUGGUUUUCUUGAGUGCAGGAGAGGAAAGCGGAAUUCCCAGUGUAGCGGUGAAAUGCGUAGACAUUGCGAAGAACACCAGUGGCGAAGGCGGCUUUCUAGACUGCAACUGACGCUGAGGCUCGAAAGCUAGGGUAGCGAACGG